GUGUUCUUCAGAGCAUCCCUGUAGAAGUCCACAAGGAAGGAAAGAGCUGACCUGUGCAUGUGCUGUGAAUGUUCCUCAGCAAUCCCAACAAAAGGAUGGUUUUAGAAAUAUCUUGCUGAAGAUCUCAGUGAUUACUGCCUUUCCUUAUGGGAACUGAGACUUGCAGACCGGAAAGCGGAGCGUUGCAGCUCAUAUUCAAAGCAGCGAGUAGCAAGUCAAGAUCACUUAGAAGAUAGAUCUCACUUGGAAGGAGCCAUGCUACGGAGUCUGUGUUCUUAUUCUGCACUCUGGCCCUGCUCCUUCAUCCUGGCUGCCAGGCCUGAACCUCUUGGAGGGGAUGGGAAGUGUCCUUCUGCAUCUUGCAUUGCACCCUGGGUCUGCUGCGCAUUAGAGAUUGCCCAGGUCUGAAGAUAGACACACUCCAGCUCGCUUGGCUUUCACCCUUCACUCCUUCUUCAGAGCAGUGAAACCAUUUGAGAGGCUUGGAACA
Molecule: long non-coding RNA, 490 nt
Organism: Pezoporus occidentalis (night parrot)
Lineage: Eukaryota; Metazoa; Chordata; Aves; Psittaciformes; Psittacidae
Exons: 4
Source: RefSeq, a predicted model, not a curated record